Molecule: long non-coding RNA, 37111 nt
Filed under: Homo sapiens (human)
Lineage: Eukaryota; Metazoa; Chordata; Mammalia; Primates; Hominidae
Description: non-protein coding LINC00319:11
Source: RNAcentral
GGGCACUCGGGCCGGGUCCCGCGGGCGCCUUGUGCUCGCUCCCUCCAGGAGGGGACGGCUCUCGGGCAGGGGUCGCCGGCCCCUCCACGCGGCCUGCGUUCGUCCAGACUCAGAGCCUCGGGACGUGCGGGGGCCCGGGGGCCUCGCGGGCUCGCGCGUGGGGCUGGCGGCGCGGAUGCCCUGGGGCGCUGCAGACCCCGAGAGGCCGCUUGCCCGCGGGGACGUCAGCCGCUUUUGCUGUUAAAAUCUGAAAUGUUCAGCAAGUUAGAAACUUGAAACCUAAGGAAGCGUGACCGGCCGCUCUGGAAGCCCCCGCCGCGCGGCCGGUCCCGGCCCCGGCCCUCAGCGGCGCUGGCGUCUGCGCGUCCCGGGGCUGCCCCCGCAGCAUGUGGGGCUGGGACCCUCUUCCCGCGCGGGCCCCGGGCGGACGCUGCGGGCGGUGACGGAGCCAGGCCGGCCGCCUGGGUAGGGGACGGGGGCGCGGGACCACUUGCUUGCCCGUGGCCGAUGCCUCAUCCGAACGGAAAACGUUUUCUUCAGGGGAGACAGAGGCUGUGGGCGAAGGUAUUUUUUAAGCCUGAGGACCCAUUUGGGAGUUAGAUUCUGGAUCGAGCCUAGGGAUGAGGCGUCCUGCCUUUUCCAGCCUUAUCUAGGAAGUGUCUUGCCAGGUCACCAAAUGGCAAGCAGAACCGUAAGCUGAAGUUGUCUGCCUAGAAUUCCACUGUGGCAAUGUUCAGCAUCCCGACUGGACAGCUCCGUGCGGCGGCAUCGGGGGCGCGGCGGCAUCGGGGGCGCGGCAGCAUCGGGGGCCCUUUUCAUGCCAUUCAAGGCCCCGUGGAAACAGACACCACAGCUCAGCAUGAGACUGUGGCCCCACCUGACCUGGCUCAUCCAUCCCCAGCCUCUCGUGGUCCCCGGCCCUAUGCCGACAUUUGGCACUCGAUGAGCCAUUUCUCCACAUUUCAGGAGCCUUGUUUUAAGACAGCCUGGCUGUCUGAGAGCCACCGGAGUCGAGACUGGAUGCCCGGCCUGGUGCCCGUGGGCCAGCACCGCCUGAGGAGGAGGGGUCUCUGGAGGCCACAGGCAGAGCCACUGAGAGGGAUCUUUAAGCAGAGGGCCCCACACACCUCCUGGGACCCACGGGUGUGGCUGCCAUGCAGGGUCUGGGAGCUACAGAGAGUCGGGAACCAAGGGCGCGGUGGCUCACACCUGUAAUCCCAGCACUUUGGGAGGCCAAGGAUCACGAGGUCAGGAGAUCGAGACCAUCCUGGCUCAUACGGUGAAACCCCAUCUCCACUAAAAAUACAAAAAAUUAGCCGGGCGUGGUGGCGGGCGCCUGUGGUCCUAGCUACUCGGGAGGCUGAGGCAGGAGAAUGGAGUGAACCCGGGAGGCAGAGGUUGCAGUGAACCCAGAUUGCCCACUGCACUCCAGCCUGGGCAACAGAGCGAGACUCCGUCUCAAAAAAAAAAAAAAAGAAAGAAAAAAAGUAAAAACAAGAGAGUAGGGAGCCAAGUCCCUGGGUUGCCAAGUCAAUCCGUGGAAGCCCCUGACUUCGAGCAGGACACAGGGCCCUAAGGACAGCCCCAGCCCCUGCAGUGUGGCCUGCAAUGGGUGUCAUUCAUUUUGACCUGGCUGUUGUGGUUUUGGGUGGUAUUGUUAUUUGUUUGAAAAGAAAACACAUGGGCUGCGUAUGGCAUGAGCAAGUACAGACGUCAUUGGGAUCGGCUAAUGAAAAUGACAGAGUACUCUAAAGUGACACCUUACAGGGACGUGGUGAUGUGGCACCAGGCCCAGUGGCACCAGCACACCACCGUCUCGCUGGCAUUUCCACCGUGGUCCCUGUUAAACCAGAAAGAACGAAAGUGUGAUGGGGAAAAAUAAGUAUGUGUUUCUUGUAAAACACAGCUCAUUUCAAAACUACUGAGAACAAGGGGACAGUUUGAAAUUGGGCAGAGCCCCUUGGGACCAGCUGGACCAGGAAGAAGGUCCAAUCAGCUCUUCCUCAGGGCCAGGAAUCUCUCGGUCACUCCGAGGCCUGGAAGAAAGUUUCCAGAACCUUUUUUUGCACAAAUAAACUGCAGAUCUGAAAUCAGCAAGAAGGUUCAGGACCUGGGCCCCCAGGAUUGGAACCACGGGAGUCUCAGAUCCUCAAACUAGCUGGGUUUGCUUCAGUUUUCUCAGGUGGGACGGGCCACCCUGGGUUUCCCAGGGUGAUGUCCCAACAGUGGAGGUGAGAUGUCACAGAAUGGAGGAUGUGAUAUGAUCUGUAACAUGGAAUCCAGCAGAAGCUCCAGCACUUAAAAGACAGGAAGCAGUGGAGGGCCUGGGUGUCCCAGCCUUCAUCAUUCCCUCACCUGGAGCAGUUGGUGUCCUCAGGGAAGGUUCUCAUUCAGUCCAUGCCUGGCAGAUCCCAUGGAGGUGCCCGGGUGAUUCUGGCACAAGGGCUGGAAGAUUCCUUCUUUGAUCCCUGCUGGUGGCCGGAGCUGGCUCACAGGCCUGGGGCUGCUCAGCUGCAGGACAGUGGGAGGAGGUGGGCUCUGGGUUCCUCAACCCGGCUCACAGCCCUGCUCCGACUGUCCCUGCUGGGCACCCCUGGCGGUGAUAUCAUCAGCCUGGGCCUCCGUUUCUUUUUUCUUUUUUUUCUUUUUCCUGAGACGGAGUCUUGCUCUGUCUCCCAGGCUGGAGUGCAGUGGCACAAUCUUGGCUCGCUGCAACCUCCACCUCCCAGGUUCAAGUGAUUCUCCUGUCUCAGCUUCCCGAGUAGCUGGGACUACAGGCAUGCACCACCACGCCCAGCUAAUUUUUGUAUUUUUAGUAGAGACGGAGUUUCACCAUGUUGGCCAGGCUGGUCUUGAACUCCUAACUUCAGGUGAUCCGCCCACCUUGGCCUCCCAAAGUGCUGGGAUGACAGGCGUGAGCCACUGCGCCUGCCCUCCAUUUCUUUAUGAACAGUGUGUGGUCCCAGCAUCCUGAAGUUGGUGUGAGGUGCAGGUGGGACGGCUUUGGGGCAGGCCCCAGUGCAGACGGCCCUGCUGCUGCCCCUGCCCGUGCCGCUGCCCCUGCCCCUGCUGCUGCCCCUGCCCCUGCCCCUGCCCCUGCCGCUGCCUCUGCCCCUGCCCCUGCUGCUGCCCCUGCCCCUGCUGCUGCCUCUGCCCCUGCGUUCCUGAGCAGGCCACCAUGCUACUCUUUGGGAGUCCUUUUUCUUCUUUUUAAAUGAGGCUUGAUUGGCUUAGGGAGAAACAGGAGACACCGCAUACCAUGCAGUUAAAAAUGAAACUCGGAUUAAAUGAAUAUUGAAUUCAGUACUGUACUGGCUUCCUAGAGCUGCUGAAAUGCAAACUGGGGGCUUAAAACCACGGAGACGUAUUCCCCCACAGUUCUGGGAAGUAGAAGCUCGAAUGCCUGUUGGCAGGGCUGAGCUCCUCUGCAGGCUGUGGGGAAGGACCUGUCCCAUGCCUCUCCUGGCUCCUGGUGGCCGCUGGUAAGCCUUGGUGUCCUGUGGCUUGUAGACACAUCUCUCCAAGUGCUGCCUCUGCCUCCAUCUCCGCGUCUUCCUGCCGCCUCCUUAUAACGACGGCAGCCAUUGGAAUGGGGGCCCACCAAAAUCCAGUCUGACUUUGUCUUCAUUUAACUGAUGAUAUCUUUAAAGAUCCUGUUUCCAAAUAAGGUCACAUUCUGAGCAUCCAGGGGAUGCGAGUUUUGGGGAGACUCGAUUCCACCAACACCAGCAUCGAAGAGGGCAGGGCACAGAGAUGAAGCUAAGGUCCAGGGCGCACACACUGAUGGGCACCCUUGAAAUAACGGCAAGGGACCCCCUAUGGGUUCCCCCACUCAUAAAGAAUGCCGAGGAGUUAGGAAUAGGACAAGCACGUGUCCCUCAAGGCUACUGUUGGGAUGCCCAGGACUUGUCUGAGCCCUUCUCUAGACCGGCUGCUCAUCCACCCGCUGCCUCUAAAACCAGGUAAGAGAAGGGGAGAGAGAGGGUCAGGAGAUGCCCUGGCCCAGGAGCAGAAGCUCCCCUGGAGGCCUCGGUCUGUGGGCCUCCUGCAGGCUGCACAGGGGGGGCCACAGCUGUCCUCACCCAGGGGCCAUGCCCUCCCAAAAGGAGGCCACCAGAGGCCCCUUGUCCCACAUUUUUGGAGUGUGGACAGCCAAACUGGGUCAUUCAGACCCAACCUGGUCACUGUGGAGGGAAUGGGCUGUGCCCCACUCCCCACCCAAUACCAGGCCGAGGCCAGCAGGUCUGAGGGUCCCUGUGGAGCUCUGUCCUGCCCCAGCCCCGGCCAGCUGUCCUACUGGCUCCUCUAGUCCUCUUCUUAGGUAAGGCUGAGAAAGUGGGUCAAAGGCAACAACCUCAGAGCCUCUGGCCGCUCCUACCUGAAGGGCCGGGGCUCUGUGUGGGUGAAGACCGGCAGCUUCCUGGAGUAACCAGAGGGCUGAGCCUCCUCCUUGACUUGUUCGGAGUGUUUCUUCACUGACCGGUUUACCUGGGUGUGCAUACGGAGGGUGAGCCACUGGAACAGUGAAAGCGUCCACCCUUCACUGAGUCAGUCCCUCUCCCGGAAGGGGCCAGGGACAGGGCAGGAUGGCUGGGCAUUGCAGGAGAUUCUUCCCCUCUGGCCACAUUCUCCCCAUGCUGGGGAGGUGGGGGUCAGAAGCCCACCAAACAGACGGGGAAGUAGGGACAGGUCCACAAAACCACGGUGAGAUGCCACCGCACACCCAUUGGGAUGGCUACCAUCAAAACACAACAGAAAAUUACAAGUGUCUGCAAGGAAGUGGAGAAGCCGGAGCCCUUGUGCACUGCUGACGGGAAUGUGAAUGGUGCAGUCGCUGUAGGAAAUGGUCGGUGAGUCCUCAGAUGGCAUGGUGAUCCCACAGGCAGUUCACACGAGCAGGAGGUGGGACACUCAAACAUCCAUCCACAGAUGAAUGGAGACACAGAAUGUUCCACAAAAUGGAAUAUUACUCAGCCUUAAAAAGGAAGGAAGUUCUGAGACAUGCUACAACACAAAGGAACCAGGAGGACAUCAUGCUGCGUGAACGAAGCUGGUCCCAAGAGGACAAAUGCCGUAUGGUUCCACGUGCACAAGGUCCCUGGAGUACUCAAAUCCACAGAGGCAGAAAGUAGAGUGGGAGGUGCUGGGGCUGGGGGAGUGAGUGUUUAAUGGGUUCAGAGUUUCAGUUUGGGAAGAGGGAAAAGUUUGGAGGUGGAUGGUGGUGAUGGUUACACAGCAGUGUCAAUGAACUUAACGUCACCAAACUGUGUGCUUUCAGAUGGUUAAAAUAGUAAAUUUUAUGUUAUGUGUAUUUUACUGCAAUAAAAAAAUGUUAAGCCAGGUCCCAUAGUUCAGCAAGAACCAAAAGGGCCACAGGACCUCCCAGUAGCUCCCUGCCCCGUCCUUAGAAACCUGAGCCCCCUCUGGCACGGAGGGAGGCCUGGCACAAGAGGCUGGCAGUGGGGUGGGCCUUGGCAGCCCACCUGCAGCCUGGCCUGGGCUCCACAUCUGCGAGGACUACACCGGGUGCUCCCAGGAGCUCCGAGUUCUCAAGAGACACCUCAGCUUUCUCAUCCCCAAAACCUCCUUCUCUCCAUUCGGAGCGUCUCCCCUGAACCCGACAUGCUUCCCCAGUGGGAACUAUGCUCUCCCCUGCCCCACCCCGGUGGACGGGUCCUGCUGCUGCCCUGACACCCUGGCACUUCAGGCAGCCACUGGAAGGGCCCAGAACCAGGAGCACAGGUGCUCCUGAGCCAUGCCCAGCCACCCCCGGUGGGGGCAAGCUCCGUGGCUGCGCCACGCCCUGGAGGGCUUUAGAAAGCAGCUGUGUUUGCUUUGCCCCUAGAUGUCACUUAGAAACAGUGUGUCCCAUAAUUGUUUUCUGGGGAUAUUUUUGGCUUUUUUUUUUUUUUUGAGAUGGAGUUUCGCCCUUGUUGCCCAGGCUGGAAUGCAGUGGCACGAUCUUGGCUCACUGCAACCUCUACCUCCCGAGUUCAAGCGAUUCUCCUGCCUCGGCCUCCCAAAGUGCUGGGAUUACAGGCGCGCCACCAUGCCUGGCAAAUUUUUGUAUUUUUAGUAGAGACGGGGUUUCCCCAUUGUGGCCAGGCUGGUCUCAAACUCCUGACCUCAGGUGAUCCACUCGUCUCGGCCUCCUAAAGUGCUGGGAAACAGGCAUGAGCAACUGCUCCCGGCCAUGUCCCAUAAUUGAAUCUGUGCUACCAAAUUUAUAUUUUAUAAAUAUAUAUUUUUAAAAAUUCCAGUUUGUAGCAAAGAUGGUACUGUGGUUUGAAAGUGUUCCCCAAAGUUCAUGUGUCGGAAGCUUGAUCCCCAACAUGGCCGUGUUGGGAGAUGCGGUCUCAUGGGAGGUGUUUGGACCGCAGGGGCACGACCCUCACAAGUGGGUUAAUAUUUUAUUACAGCAAAUAUAUACUAAGUUUGUUGGCCUUUGUUGGGCCUGUUUAUUACAUCUUGGAUUUUCAGUGACUUUUUUUCUUCUACCUGAGUUUAAAACAGUGCACAUGAAAGGAUUUGGAAUUUUAAAACUUUUUUCUUGAUGAUAAAAUUGAAUAUAUGAUUAUUAUAAAAAAUAUAUAUGAAAAUAAUAAUACUAACAUAUAAGAAAUAAUUCAUAAUUCUACCACUCAGAUAUCAUCACUCAGUAUUUUGGUGCAUUUUUUUCUAGUUGAAUAGAUGUAAAUUUUUAAAAAAUAAAUUUGGAUUGUACCCCAUAUGAACACUCUUAUAGCCUUUCUAUUUGUAGAAAGAGAAUUCCAUGUAUCAUAUAUAAUUUAAAUACAUUAUUCUUAAUAUCUAAUAUCUCAUGUUUAACAUGUAACAUUCCCAUUUAUUUAACAUUUCUAUUUGUAGACAUUAUUGUUUCUACACGUUACUAUAAACAGUGUUAUUGUGAGCAUCUUUCCCAAAACUCUUAAUUCCUAUGUGAAAUUUUUCCCUAGGAUAAAGGCUUAAAAAUGGAAUUACCAAGUGAAAGAGGAUAAAGUGUCUUAAAGCCUUUGAUAUAUGUUGCCAAACUGCUGGGGCACCCCUGACCUUAAACUGUGCCAACAUUUAAGAAUUUUCAUUUUAAAAAUAUUUUGCUAAGUUCAGAAGUGGAAAAUAAUAUCUGUAUUAGUUUCCUAGGGCAGCCAUAACAAAGUAUAAAAAACAAGCAGUUCUAAACAACAGAAAUGUGUCCUCCCACAGUUCUGGAGCCAGAUGUCUGAAAUCUGUGUGGGCAAGGCCAUGUUCCCUCUUCAGCCUCCUGGCGAGAUUCCUUUCAUGCCUCUUCCAGCUUCUGGAGGUUCUCAGGGACACCUGUCAGUCGUUGGCUUACAGAUCCCUCAUCCAGUCUCCGCCACCAUCUUCAGAUGGGCCGGCUUUUCCUGGGGCCUCCCUCUCUUCUUAUAAGGACACCAGGCAUUCUGUAUUUAGGACCCAGCCUACUCCAGUAUGGUCUCACUCUAACUAGUUAAUCUGCAACCACCCUAUUUCCAAAUAAGGCCAUGUUCUUAGGUACAGGAGGUGAGGACUUAACAUACCUUUCAGUAGGGGGACACAGUUCAAUCCGUAAUAGCAUGCAUUUAUUGUAAUGGGCACUUCUUGGAUUUCCUUAUGGAAAGUGAUUCUUCUCUUCAUGUUCAUUGGCCAUUUGUGUUUGAGUGUCAGUUCUUAUUUUCUGCUCCAUUUUCUAUUAGUGGGUCUCAGUCAAGGCUCCCUUUAUUGUGAGAGGCAGAAAUGCAACUGAAACUGGUUCAAGCUAAAAGGAGAGUUGGUGGUUAACAUAACUAAAGGGCCCAGGAUACUACAGGCUUCAGGUUGAGCUCGACCCAGGCUCACACAAUGUUUAUCUGUUCUAUUCCCUUUUUUCAGCAGCAUCCCUCAGUUCUACUUCCCUGCCUUGGCUUUGUUCUCAGGCAGGCUCAUUCCAGUUUGUAGCAAAGAUGGUGCUAUGCUUUGAAAGUGCCCCCCAAAGUUCAUGUGUCAGAAGCUUGAUCCCCAUCAUGGCAAUGGUGGGAGGUGGGGCCUAAUGGGAGGUGCUUGGGUCAUAGGGGUACGACCCUCACAAGUGGAUUAAUACCAUUAUCUCAAGAGUGCGUUCCUUAUAAAAGGACAAGUUUGGCCCCAUCUUGCGCGCUCUCUCUCUCUCUCUCCCCCUCUCUUUGUGUGUGUGUGUGUGUGUGUGUGUGUGUGUGUGUGUGUGUGUGUGCUCUCACUUUCUCACUCUUGCCCUUCUGCCUUCCACCUUGGGAUGCCGCAGCAAGAAGGCCCUAACUAGAUGCCAGUGCCAUGCUCUUGGACUUCCCAGCCUCCCCAGGACAUCUCUGUUCAUUAUAGAUUACCCAGACUUGAUAUUUUGUUAUAGCUGCACAAAGCAGACUAAGACAGGUAGCUAACAUCCUACUAGUUCACCGUCUACAGAGAAAGCAUAUCUUUUCCCUGAUAGUCCCAGCCACGGUCCCAGGCAAGCCCUUCAUUGGCCAGGUUUAUGUCAUGUUUAAUCUCUGGAGGUGAAGAAUUUAGGUCAGCACACCCAAAUCACCUGGACUAAGGGCAGGAGGGGGUGGUUUACUGGGGGCUAUUACAAAGGAAGGAGCCACAGAUUCCUUUGCACGGGCAAAAUCAAAAGAUGGGCCCCUAGUAAGGAAAUGCUUAUUUAUUCUGAGAACUCUUUUUAUAUUAAAGGCAUGAAUCCUUUACCUCUUUCUUCCAUGGUUUUUUCUUAGUUAUUUGUCUCUGUGGGUUUUUUUUACAGGAGGCCAAACGCUGCCUUGUGAGUGUGGCAUUCCUGGGGCACAUUUGCCAUAUAGCAUCACUGCAUAAUAACGUCCAACAGGAGCAUAUUGCCAAGACACAUUCUCUGGGCGUGAACAAAAAAACAAACCUGUGGCUAGUACUUCAGUCAGUGAAUUGGCAUUCGAAAGCGUGUCGUCAUUAGUACAGACGUCAGCGGUGAAUGAGAAAGCAAAGAACCCGUGGCUGCACCUAAUAAAAGGCCGGCAGGGAGAUAAAAGCUACCGUGGUUGUGCAAUGAUGGGACAAAAUGCCCAGGGUCACUGGUCCAGGUGCAGGUUUUGAGUCCUCACUCAAAAAUGAGAUAAGGAAUGUGACUUUGAACUCAUUAGCCUUUUGAUCAGGCUAUGAACUAAAGGCAAAUAGAACAGGUGGCCUGACCCCUGCCAGAGACUGGCACUGCCUGCGAGGUAGGAGCUCCCAGGUGGGCAGGGACCAGAGGUCAGUGACUUGGUGCACCCUCCACUCAUGGGGCCGGGCCGGCAGUUCUCCCUCCUUCCUCUUCUCCUCCCCCUCCACGGGGGAGAUUCUAAAACCCCCAGGAGGAUGUCCCUGGUAACACUGCUUCUCCCUUUUCACGUCAGGCCCCAAGCCCUGUUUAGAUCCCAGGGUAACAGCACUGAGCAGUGGAAGAGCCCUUGCUACGUGGCCACCCAGCCGUGGGCCCAGGGAGGACGCGUUCCUUUUUGCACAGCUGGCCGGAGAAGCUGCUGUGCGUCAGGGCCAGGCCUGUGGCUGGGAGAGCAACAAAGUGUAGGGAGGGUCACGGGGCAACUGUGGCCCACGUUACUGCCCAGACGGUGCCCCCUGUCCUGGAAGGAGGCGUCCCCUCACAACCCCUGCCCAGGAAGGAGGUGUCGGGGCUGACAGCAGCACCUGGGAGGUGACUUGGAGGGUCUGGGGUUGGGGGGUUGACAAGGGCGUGAACAGUUGGGAGAUGGGUGAAUUAGAAAGGGGCAACCAAACAAGUCAAGCAUCUUCCCAAAUGUUUCAAGGUUUAAGAGGGCGUUGUAACACACAAUGGUGUGUGAGUGUGUGUGUGUGCACAUCCCUCUAUGUGCAUACAUCUCUGUGCACACGUGUGCAUCUGUGUGUGAUGUACACGCUCACACAUGUGCUAGCAGAGGAAGCACAGGGAGAGGCUCACAGGCCUGAGUGACGUCAGAGACAGGUAUGGCCCACAGGGCGGUCUGGCAGAAGCUGGCCUGGUACUUGCCUGGCUCCCCGGCCUCACCCCCUAACCCAGGGUGCAGGUUCCAGCCGCCCUCUCUCCAGGGCAGGGCGGGACACCCUGAGUGCUCAGUGGGCUUCUUGGCCCUCAGUCCCCAGAAGGUGAGGGUCCCCAUCCUCCUGGGUGCCCCCUACCCCAGCUCCUGAGCCACAUGGUCAUGGACUGGGGAAGCAGAGUCCAGACUCUAAGGAGGGGUUUCUUUGUCAUCUUCCAACUCAGGACCCUUGGGCCAAUCGGAGCAGCUCAGCCUCAGUUUCUCUCUUCUUCAUCUCCUGUGUACUUGAGGGGCCUCCCGAGGGCUGCUCCCUUCCCAGAUGAGGCUGAAGUAAACCCUGUCAUACAGGUGGGUGGGUCCCUGGAGGGGACAGGCCAUGCUAAAGCCACCAAGCCCCCAAAAGUGCGAAAGGAUGAACAGGAGGGCGGCGGGGCAGAGCUGGGUGCCUUGGAGUGGGGUGGGGGCUGGAUUCGGGGGUGGGAAGAGCAGAGCACCUUCCCUGCACGGGGAGGGUGCCCCUUCCUCUGCACAGACCCGCCUGCCCCCUCCACUCCGCGUGGCCCAGGGGAGCCAGGCCUGGAAGGAUGUCGUGGGCGACGCUAGCUUGGAGUGACUCCUUUUAUGGGGAAACUUUGGAACUUCAUCUGAGAAAGCCUUGUGCUAACCCAGGGCCCCGCCUCUGGCCAGGGCAAGACAAGGAAGCCAUCCACAGUCUUCAAGACUGUUGCUCCCGGGACGGUGCCAUUUCCUGUGGGAGCUUCAACACUCAGAACUCACCCUGGCAUGCAGGAGGCUCACAUGACGCCCUUGUCAAAGAAGCUGAUGGGUGAUUUAGUGAACAAAUGAUUCACGAGCAAAGAACCAAAAUCUCUCCGUGUGUGCCUGCAUCUGUGCUUGCGUGUGUGCGUGUUUGUGUAUGCUUGUGUGCACUACACGCAAGUGUGUGUAUCUGUGUAUAUGUUUUCUUGUGCACGCCUAUGGAUUUGGUUAUGUGCAGAUAUUUGCUUUGUGCACGUGGGCAUGCGUAGGUGUGUGCAUGUGGGUUUGCCGUAUGCAUGUGUGUUUGUGUUGUCAGGUGAAUGCAGGCAUGUACUCGUGUGUAUGAGUUACUGUGUGCAUGUGUGUGAUUUUGUGAGUGCUUGUGUUUGUGUAUGCGAGUUUGUGUGUACAUGUGUUUGUGUGUGUGGAUCCAUGCGUAUGCACGUGUCUCUGUGGGUGGGUCCGUGUGUGUGCACAUGUGUGCUCUCCUUUAAGCUCACCCCUGGCCAAGCCUCUUGGAGCCCAGGGCUGCCCAGGAACUUUGUGGAGCAUUUAGGGGUGUUUCAGUCAAGUUGGAAACAGGCUGGGGAGGGAUGGAUUUGUUGUGACCUGGAGGAGCGGGUAGAUGACCUCACCCAGUUGCACACAGAGGGCGUGGGUUAGGCACCAUGUACUUAAACUUGGCAUUGAAGUAGAAUGGACAUUCUGGAAGGAGACGUGACAGGGAUUUUCACCCCCACAAACGCUCACAAGGGAACUGCCCCCAGGGAGCUGUCCAGAUACCCCUCCAACCCUCCAGUCACCCCCACUCCCCUGGAAGCAUUAUCCACUGCGGGCACUUUGUGUGGCCAGAAUGGAGAACCCUGCAGCUUCUUCAUGUGGCGUUUCCUCUGCCCACCCUCCCAGCUCCAGCUGGCCCGGUGCCUCCAGGCACCAGCCCUCAGCAGCACCACCCACUCAAGGGUUCAUGACAGAUGGGUCCAAGCAGGGAAAAGUGGCCCCAAGGACUCUGAGCAGGAAGGGAUUGAACACAGGGAAGGGGUAUCACAGGACCCAGGAUGGGCUGCAGACUCCAGACGGGCCUCCUGGGAGACUCAGGCACAGAGUGCCGCCCCACCAGGCACUGUCACCACGGCAGCCCCCCCGGAGCCGUGCCGGGAGCAUAAAGCCACCAGGGCCGCUGCGUUGCCACUGCCUUGCACCCCCGGGAGCUGGGGAACAGACCCGCACAGCCGUGACCACCUGAAAGCCAGAUGAGCCAGGGGAAGCAGCUGCGCCUGCAGCCACCCCCACUCCAGCAUAUGGAGAACGCGGCAGGACAAGCUGGUGUCUCCGUGGGGUGCCCCCGUUGUCCCCACGUCUCACAUACACUCGCCUGAUGGGUGGCCUUCCCCACAUCCGGGACCCUGGCUAGAGUCUGAAAGGCGGCUGCCCACGUCCCAGCUGCCCCUGAGCAGGGAGGCCGGCAGGGGAUGCACGGCGAGUUCUCUCAGUGGUCGGCCGGGCCCCAGCCCCCUGGGUGCUGCGAGGGGACCCUGUGAGCCUGCUGAUGGCCAGUGAGCCGCGGUCCUCUGGUCCUAGCCGGCCUCGGGUCUGUGGUCCUCCGGGCAGGACGUGUCUGGCAGGCCAGAGGCGGCUCCUGUGUGCGCGGAACAGCCGCUUUUACAGGGGCGUCGGCUCGUGGCGCUGGCAGGGCUUCUGUCGCACCAGCCCUCGGCCCGCGGCAAAUGCCGAAUGCCGGUGCUGGGAACGGAAGUGGGAAAUGACGGGGGGUGCAGGGGAGCGGCCCUGACUGGGACUGUACGGGGACGCAUGGGGGUGCGGGCACUUGAGGGAGGAAGCAGCAGAGGGAGGUGUGUGGAUGUGUGUGUGUGCGUGACUGGGGUGUGAGCGUGCCCACUGUGGGUGUGCCCGUGUGUGUGGCUGUGAGGCGUGAGUGCAGGCGUGAAGUGUCUGGGAGUGGGAGCGGGCAUGAGUGUGUGCCACGGGCCUGCUGUUGGGUCCUUGGAGGCCACGGUUGCCCCUGAAGGGACUGCAAGCUCUUUUUUGAUUUGUAGUUAUUUGAGAAGUCUAUACAGGAAGAAAAUUAAACCGCAUUUACUAAAUACAAUAAAAUUACAGGAAGACAGAAUUGUCCCCAAAUUACAAACAUGUGGCCCGAGUUGCUCCACGACAGCUCAGCCCCAGACCAUGCAGUGGAGAUGGCAGCCCCGAGCCCCGGGCCCAUCUCCUGCUCCCCACUGAGGUGACACAGGACCCCUGUAAGGCAGGACCCCAGAGCCCCGCACAGGAGGGGGGGCUGUGUGGGGGGAGGGACCCCUGCCUGCUGUCCCUGCCCAGCCUGCGGUCCCGCCCCCACCAGGCAGCGGACCCUGGACUGCUCAUGAUCACGGCCUCACCUGGAAAGCUGCUAUGGGCUGGUCUGAGCCUCUUCCCUCUUUCCGGGAAAUCUGAGGCCCACCAGCAGCGGGCAGCAGGUCAUGGGUAUGGUCGCGGACUUGGAGGCCCAGGAAGGCCACCAAGGAGCAGGAAGGGCCGUGUCCUGGGAUCAGAGUCUAGGCCAGAGACCCUUCCCAAGGCUGUCACCCAGGAGGGAGAUGAUGGGAAGUGACAGUGGGGCCCAGGCUGGAAGUGAGAGGGGCCGGGCCUGUGGCGGAGUAAGAGCUGGCUUGGAGUGGGCAGAGGCCAAGGCAGCCGGGUGGGCACCAGACUUGGGAGAUGCUCGGCCUCGCACCGAGAAAGGGGGGGCGCUGGGGCCAAGUGCCCACUGCCCGGAGAGCAGGGCUGGGUCCUCAAGGGCCCCCUGCUUUUGGAUGUUGUGCAGCCACUGAAGCUGAAGCCCAGUCGCCCCGGCUCCACGGUCCAGACUCCCAGCAGGUGGCCACCCCUGACCACCUACUCUGAAAUCCAGGCACAUCCUGGCACCACCCGGCCAAGAGCCCACAUGGCCCCGGGGCAUUCAUCUCACUGGGCAGGGGCAGCCUCCGACCUCAUCCCAGCUCAGUAGGUGCUCGCGGUGCCCUCCUAAACGCCAGCCAUGAGCUUGAGCGAACGCCAGUGUGUCGUGAGGCUGAGCACAGCCUGGCCCCUCCACUCCGGCUCCUGGUGGCUGUCUGCUGUGUCCCCUAUCGGGGAAGAGGUUUCUCUUUGGCCCAAGCCCACCUGCCCCUGCCUGAGGGAGCCCUCAGCCACUACGCUCAGCCCGUCAGAAACCUGAGAGCUCAUGUCCACGACAGGGCCAGCCAGUGGGGAGAGGACCCGGGGCUCCCUUGGAGGCAGGGCACUGCUCGUUCCCGCGGCCGCUCGGCCCCGCCCGCUCCCUCCACCCCGAUUUCCCACAGGGCUUGCAGGCAUCGCCCCAAACAGACUCUGUCACCCAAGCCAUGUGCCUGGGCCUGCCUUUGGGUGUGGAUGGGGGGUGCCUGGCGGGGGGUGCCUGGCGGGGAGUGCUCUGAGUGCAGGAGCGGACACCCAGGCUGCCCGAGGAGGGCAGGGCGUGAGGACUGGGACAGCCGCACCCCUGCUGCUUGGCACGACCCAGUGAAGGAAUGACGUCCGCAAGGGCCACGUGAGCUUGGGGCGGGCGGUGCCGGUGGAGGGAGAGGCAGAGGCUGUCAGCCUCUCCCCACCCCUGCCUCACGUGGCCACGCCCGACGUCACCGUGUCUUUCUUUGUGAGAGCUGAGUCCACCGACCCCACCUUGUUUAGAUUAGGUUGGAAGUCACCUGGGCUGAGCUGAUGGCUGAUUCCGUCAGCAAAAAGAACUGUGGAACAUACUGGCACUUGGGCCGGUGUGAAGCCACCCCCCUGCCAUGAAAAAUGGCUCUUCCCUGCCACAGCCGGCCCAGCGGGAGCCAGGUCAGGGCCUGGAGACACAGCGCCCCCCACCGGAGCCACUGCCCGGCCCAGCAGCACCUGCGGAGAAUCCCACCAGCUCCCACGCCUCCCGCCGCGCCACCGCCCCGGCUUUCUGCAAAUCCACCUUAUGGAAGCCGGAUAAGGUGAAGUCCACAUAUAACUAAAAGCGAGUUACUGAGGGUUACUUUCUUUGCAGAGUGGUUCCCCUAAAGGAUUCCUUUAAACAUGAUCCGGUCAGCCAGUGCUCACUUACGUUCACCAAGUCACGUCGGUUUGUGGCGGCAGGAGCCCAGCGUGCCAGGCACCUGCGGGAGGGGAAGAUGCUGGGUGGGGCCCUGCUUUCGACACUUUGCAUCUUAAGCAGAAACGGUCUCACAUUCGCCCAGGCUGGAGUGCAGUGGUGCAAGCAUAGCUCAUUGUAGCCUUGAACUCCUGGGUUCAAGCCAUCCUCCCACCUUAGCCUCCCAAAGCGCUGGGAUUACAGGCAUGAGCCAACACACCUGGCCGGCACCAACUCUCAGCCACGCUGUCGCAGACAGCGGGGCCCCUGCUUGCUGCUGGAUGUCACCUCCCAGCCCUGAGAGGCUGGGGAUGGGAGCCGGCAGCACUCCUUUGCACAGAGCACCGCAGGAAGCACUGGAAUCCGGAAAGAGAGAGGGUGCCGUGAGCAGACUUCCCGGCAGGCGUCAACCUCCUGUGUGGUCAGGAGUGCAGGCGCUGGGGCCGGAACCCUGGGCACUCGACCACAACCGCCUGGGCAACGUGGCCAAGUGGGCGCGUGUCCUGGGGCUCUUGCAACAAGCCAGGUGGCCUCAACAACAGAUACUGAUUCCCUUACAGCUCUGGGGACCAGAAGCCCCAAAUUAAGCUGUGGGCAGGGCUGCACUCCCUCCAGAGGCGCUAGAGGGGGAUCUUCCUUGUCUCUGGCAGCUUCUGGUGGCCCAGGCGUUCCUUGGCUUGUGGCUGCCUCCCUCCAGUCCCUGCCUGGCCCUCCCACGGCCUCGGCCCCUCUCCAUGUGGCUCUCCCUGGGUUUUCUCUUCUCUUCAUGAAGGCGCUUGUCCUUCACACCAGGCGCUGUGGUCCAGCCUGACAGCCCAGGACGAUCACGCUGCCAGGUCUUGACCUGAUUAUAUCUGCAAAGACCCUUUUUUCAAAUAAGGUCAUCUUUACAGGUUCUGGGACACAGACAGAUCUUUCUGUGGGGACACCAUUCAACAAAGAGGGGAAGCCACAGCCAGACCCCCCUCCGCUCAAAGGCUUGCUGUUUCCUAUGUUGCCCGCCACACUCCGUGUCUAUAGAGCUGGGACAGUGGCAGUGCCCACCUCAGAGGUCACCGUGCAGAUUAAAUUCAUCCCUAGACACGAAGUGCUGGGUGCAGGCACAGAGAACUGGAAGGAAAGGUUUCCUGUGACCGUGUGCUCCUUCUGCCCUCGGCUCGGGGUCUCUGCUGUGCUCGGCGUGGGUGGUGAUGAGGAUGUCACUGGGUGCACAGCUGGCCCCGCAAGCUGCCCGGACCCCAGGCCUCCCCUCUUUCCAGCCAGGAUGUUGUGUGCUCACAGCCUCUCAGGGCCACAGGUGCAGUGACUGCUGCUGCUGUGUGCUUAUUUGCUGCAGAGACUCCACUGGGGCCAGGCUGAGCAGGACUCCCCAGACAUAUCCAGAGGUCCUUCGAGAGGGCCGCAUGGCAGGCACAGGGUUGAGGGGCCUGGUGGCAUGGCCACGGCUCACCUGGGAGCGCAGGUGGGAAGCCCCCACACCUAGCAGAGUGCAGCUCCUUCCCGCACAGCCACCUGCGCUCCUUGGCCUGACCCCGUAGGGCUCUCAAUAAGAAACGGGGGCUUCCCCUCCUCCAGUCUCACCCUCAGUCUCCACGUUGUCUCCACCUAGCACCUCCUCCUCUGAUGCGUCACAGUCACAGGUCCUGGUGAGGAGGGAGCCACGCCAAGCACAGCGGCUGGAACAGGGGCAAGUGGGUGCCCACCCCGAAGUGCAGGCAAUGAACUUGUGCUGUAGCCCAUGGUGAGCUGUGGGGCUGUUUGUGACUGCAGCGUAGCCAAGCCCAUCCCGCCUGAUGCGGCCUCUUCAUCCAGAGUGGGGGUGACGUGCCAGCCCCCACCUCACCGGAAUGCUGGGAGGAGCGUCUCCACGGAAGGAGCUCACUUUGUCAGCUGUAAUGUGCUGUGACUAUCGUGUGAGUUCCCGGGUCACUGUAACAAGUCCCACAGCCUGGGGGCUUCAACAGAGAGAGCCUGAAUGGCUCUCUCACCAUUCAGGAGGUGGAAUCCAGGGUCAGGGUGCGGCUCCGCUGGCUCCUGAGGCCUCUCUCCUUGGCUCUGUCUCCUGCUACUGUCCUCACAAGGCCAUCCCUCUGUGUGGGUCUGUGUCCUCAUCUCCUCUCCGUAUAAGGACACCAGGCAGAUUGGGCCAGGGCCACCCCACCAGCCUCAUGUUACCUUAACCACCUCUGUGAGGACCCCAUCUCCAAGUAAGGUCCCUUGCGGAGGCAUUGGGGCUUAGGGCUGCAGCAUACAGAUCUGGGGGAGACACACGGCCCCUAACAGUAUCAAGGGUGGGUGGGCCCUCAUAGGAUAGGACAGCCGCCCAGUGGGGAGACACGUGGCCCCUAACAGUAUCGAGGGUGGGUGGACCCCCAUAGGAUAGGACAGCCGCCCAGGGGGGAGACACGUGGCUCAUAACAGUAUUGAGGGUGGGUAGAGCCCGAUAGGAUAGGACAGCCUCCGGGGGAGACACGCGGCCCAUGACAGUCUCGAGGGUGGGUGGACCCCCACAGGACAGCCGCCGGACAUUUCCUCCUCUGCUAGUCUGAAAAUCACACUGUCUUAGGCAGACAGGGAAGAAUCAACAUUUCCAUGCCAGGCAGAGGCCCCCGGAGCGCAAAGGACCAGAGGAUCAAAGAGCAAACGUCACCCUCAGGGUCUAACGUGCAGGUGGCAGGACCCCGGCCCUUCCUGUGUAUCUGAUUGUGGGUUUUGUCUCUGCCACGUGCAGGGAUGGGUGCAGACUCCGUCCAAGGUCUUGGCAGGAAGAGAAAACUGCCACUGCAGAGGGGCUGGCUGAGGGGCUGGGAUGGGGUCCCCGGGGCGCGGAGCUGCACACCAGCCCCUCGCACCUAGGCAGAAGGUCCAUUGCCCUCUGCCCCGCAGCCUGCCCGUUCCCAGGCCAGCGAGGGCGCUCCCAGGCCGGUCUGCAGCCAGAACACAGCCCGUUCCAUGUGCUUGUCCUCGGGACACAUUAGGAAUGAACCCAGGCCUCAGUCCUGGCCUCCUCCUCAAGGCUGGGUGCUCAGACGUCCCCCUCAGCCCCUUUCUCUAGACCUUCCGGCUGAACAAACGAGAACAUCUCACAGCCCUGCAACAGCCAGGAGCUGCUCGUGGAGCUCCACGCCCGGCUGGAGAGAGAGGAGGCACCCUGGGCAGCCCGCCAGCACCCAGGCUCUCACAGUGGAAGCCCACGUCUUCUUGGGCUCUAUUUUGAAAGCUGUUCUUUCCACGACGGCUUUGACAAGAAUCGAUUUGAGUGAGCCGGCGUGUCAAUACAGGCCAGCACAGGACUGGCCUCAGGGCCACAUUGGGGAGGGUGGCGACCAGGCCCUGGCUGCAGCCCACGUGGGCAAAAGCAUGGCCAGGCAGGAGGUGGGGCCUGUGAGCUUGGCUACAGCGACCGUGGGCGCUGGGCCCGGGGCUCCUCAGCCCUGAGGGGAGACCCAGGCCCAGGCAGGCUCCCAGGCGGGCUCCCGGGCUCCCAGCCUUCCGAUCUUCUCCCUUUGAGACCUUGCCUUCUGCACAGUGACAGGAAAGAGCCCUGAGUCCCACUUUGCAGGGAUGUAUUGCAUUUCCAGAAAGUUCCUUCCGGGUGCAGAGUGAUACAUGAACCCUGGGGACUCACUCCAACUUGGUAUUGAUUUUCUCCACGGAGGACCCAGCAGUCACGGCCCGUGUCUGCACAGCCCCUUGGAUCCUGCGGAGGAAUUCAGCCGGCCCCUCCCCCUGUGCCGAAAACCACGGAGGCAAAGCCAGGCCAGGUUCAGGGUACAGUGAGAACACGGGAGAGGACUGAGAGACCGCUGGCUGCCGAGGGAGGAAGAGCAGGAUUCGCACCCCCGUCAUCGCUGGGCCCACACGCCGCCGACAGCUUCCGCGUGUGGCCAUCUGUCUUUCAGAAACCCUCUGGCAGAGGGACCCAGCAGAUGACACGGGGGCCGUUCACACUCUGAAACCUGCCUGGAGUCAAAACACUGCUGGCGAGCCUCCACCGCAAACCCAAUCCAGAUGGUCUUCCCUGGUGGCCCUCGGGGUGGCGGGCACCCUGCCCACUCCCUGCCAGCCCCUGCCCGCUGGACUCCAGGCCCGGCCGAGCCCCCGACCGGUCUCCUGACCCAGCAUGCUGCUCUCCCCUGGGCCCGGCUUUCUCGCCCGCUGGGACUCCCAGGCCCCUCCAGCCCAGCCCCGAGAGCAGGAGCCCCAAGGGAGGCUUGGCGGCUGUGGAGGCGAGUGGGCCACGUGUAGCUGGGAGGCCGGCAGGACCAGGAGCCCCUCACAGCGCAGCACCCACAGCAUCACGAGCCACUUCCACUCCUGGGUGGCCUGGGGGCCCCCACCCUGCUCUGAGCUGCCCCUUGUUGUGACCUGGGGUCCCCCGUGGUGGGCCCGCCCCUUGAGCCUGGGAUCCAGCCUCAGCGAGGCUCCAGAAGUGUCGUCUCCGCCGGCCAGGCGUCAGCGCCUCCACCCAGGAUCACACACUCCUAUCUCUGCACUUCUGCCCUCCAUCCUGCUCCACGCCGCCUCUGCUUGUUAUUCCAGCACAUUCCAGGGUGAUGCCUGCUGAAGCCACGCAGCCAGUGCCUCCACCCUACCCCCCAUCUGACCCACCGGCCCCUUCCGCACGCUGGAAGCCUGCCCGGCCUGAAGUGUCCUCACCUGUCGCCCUAUCCUCCCCUCCACUCCAGCCCACCGGUGACUCAGCCCUCACAGCUCUCUCCUCCCCGAGGGAGCCGGUGACUUGGCUCUGAUGGUGCCGGGACCCAGCCCCGGCAUGUUCAGAAUCCUUGUCCUUUAACCUGCGUCCACAUGUAGUCGCCUCCACCUCCCUGCCUGAACCUCCAGGCCCUGCAGAGCAAACACUGCUGCCUGCAGGAGACCCCUGGGGCCUUCUCCGUCCCCUCAUCCUCCUAAGGAGCCUCCCCUGCCACCGUGCCAGAAUGUGCCGGAGGAACAGAGGCCCGAGCCUCCCGUGGCCCCAGCGAGGCUUCCUCUGGGGAAGACAGUGAGCCCAACGCCCUGGCUCUCGAGGGGUGGACGGAGUCCAGCUGGCAUCGACCGGGUGCCCCUCUUCACCGGUGUCCACAGUCCUUGAGAGCAAAGGGUUCCCAGAGGCGACCUCCCUCCUGCACAGGCAUUUGUCAUCCUUACCCUCUAGGACAGCUUUGCCAUGUGCAGUGAACCCCUGGACAGUGUUGCGUGCCACUUUGCCGGAUUUGGACUGUAUACAGACCGAAGCAUGUGGCAUGAAGCCUUCUGCUGUCAGCAAGUUCCUUGUCCCUCGACAGUAUGUGCCCAGGCUGCCCUUCAAGGUGGCAGUGAUGGCAGUUGUCUCUUGCACGCUGCGUACAGUUCUGUCACUGACUCUUACACACAGCCCUGGAGACGGGAGAGUGCCGGGAGCAUUCUAUGCAAGUGUCCUGGCCUUUGCGGGCGUCUCCACAGCACAAACACGAGUCAGGGACCACCCCUCUUCUGCUUCCAUGAUUCCACCAACUGGGUGGGGCAGAGCAGUGCCAGGGCCGGAGGCACGCCCCAGGUGAGGGCAGGUGGCCAUGCCAGUGAGUGCACUGCGUUCUCAGUUAAUUCAUCCGAAAUAUUUCUAAGUUUCUUGAUUAUUGCAGUUGCAUCCCCAAGAUAAUGCCGCCCUCACCAAGUAGAAGGCACAUGUGCUCUGAUGGCCCCUCCCACACUGGGGUCAGGGCACAGCAACUUAGCGAGGCGACGUGGGGGCUCAGAGGACCUCGGACCAGGCUCGGCACAUGGGGCUUCUCCAGCCAGCCAGGGGGAAGCACCCUGCAGACUGCUAACUUUUGCAAAAUAGAGUAAAAAAGAUCAGCUAGAAAAAUAAAACAAAAAAGGAAAGAUAUACAAAAUACAAGGCCAUUUAUAUUGUUGCAUUUAACAGUCAUCAACUCACUCCGUCUGAGGGGCGUUGGCAUCUGUGGACACACUCAGUGCCGAGGUUUGUCCCACUGCGGGCAGGCACAAGCGGCUUCCUGGGGGCUGGCCCUCGCCUGCUCUGCGUGGCUGUGCUGCAUGGGACACUGAGGCACCCGUCGGCUGCUCACUGCCUGGCUGCAUCUGUGAGGGAGGAAACGAGCUGGGUACCAGCUCAGCCUCUGAAGACCCCACGGGUGCCCUAAGCUGUGAUGUCUGUCCCCAAAGUUCAUUUUGGGUGGGAGUGCUGGGGGUGCAGGGACAGAGGGUUCCAGCUCACCCAGGGCCAGCCCUGACCAGACGGCAGGAACCAGGGUCUGCGGCUGGAUGCAGACGGCAGGCAGAUCAUUCUGGGGAAAUCCCUUUCUUAAACCACAUACUGUCCUGGGCUGAGCAGGCCCCCCUAAAAACUCAUGUCAACUCAGAACCUCAGAAUGUGACCUUAUUUGGAAAUAGGGUCUUUGCUGAUGUAAUCAAGUUAGGGUGAGCUCACACUGGAGUAUGGUGGGCCCUCAUCCAAUGACGGCAUCCUUGUAAGAAGAGGGAAGUCAGCCCCACAGAUGCAGGGAGGACAGCCACGUUUCAAUGGAGGCAGAGACUGGAGCCACACAGCUGCACGCAGAGGGACGCCCGGGGUCACCAGGAGCUGGAAGAGGCAGGGAGGACCCUCUCCUCGGGCCUCCAGAGUGGGCAGGGGCCUGAGGAUGCCCUGAUCCCCAAUUCCAGUCUCUAGAGCUGUGAGAGGCUCAGCAUCUUAGCUCCCCAGCGUGUGGCCUCUGUCAGGGCAGCCUUGGGAGCUGAGCCUGGCCCCUAACUCUCAGGAGCUCUCCCACAGACGGGGUUCUGCAUCUCCCGAGCACGUCCGAAGCCCCCUUUCCACAAGGGCCACUGCUCGCCAGGCUGACGGUGACCGCCACUUCCCUAGGGACCCACCUUCUGUUCCCAAAGGCCCUGCCUGACACCUGGCCACUCAGCCCCACCCCGCCUAGCCUGCACGCCCCACAUGUCCACGGGGUCUUCUCUGAACGGGCCUGGCCUUUCGGUGGGGAGGCGAGGACUCCAUUUGAGGGCUGGCCCCUGAUUGCUCCAGCAUUUCAGUGACAUUGUGCCCCAGGCCGAGGGAAGACUCUGGAAAAACUUCCCACCAAACUCCUCUUCUGCAGAGUUGAGCUGACAGGAAGUCUGUAACUUUCCUGCAAAACGUUAUUCUACCCCCGCCAGGUGAGCUGAGAUGGCAAAGGCUGACGACAAGGGUCCCGGGAGUCCCCACAGCUAUGGGGGAGGGUAACUGGCCCCCCCCCACCCUGUGGGGAAUAGCAGCAAAGCUUCACACAACCCCCAGGGCCAGUGUCUGCUGCUGAGCGCAGGUCCCACCAGAGCCAGCACGAAAGCCAUAGAAAGACAACCUGAAGUCACCAGUGUCCCUCGGCAGAAGGAACAACCCGUGGUGUCUCCCGCUCCCUCCCUGCACAGCCAUGAAAAGAAAGGGCCUGUGUACUCUAACAGCAGGGAGAACACAGUCCCCAAGACCCCCACAGGCUGGGAAGUCAGAGAUCACAGGAGAGGUCACCUCUGGGGGUCAUGACUCGGGGGAGUCCCUGGGGGGGACCAGGGGUUCUCUGUGGUUCUGGCGUGCUCUUGGAGGGACUCACUGACACGCACGGCGGUUACACGGGCGCAGACACGCAAAGACCUGAGCACGAGAUAAGAUUUGUGUCUUUCGUGGUACGUCAGCUUUACCCCAUUUUUAAAGACUUUCAAAAAUGUUAUUCUGGGCAUAUGCUUUGAACAGAUUGUAACCCCACCCCAGAAGGAGGACCUUGGAUGUGGAGCUGGCAAGCUGGAGCCGCCCAGGGCUGUCCGUCUCCCUGUGGCUUCUUCUCCAGGAGGCUCCCGGGAGCAAAGCCGAGUCGGCAAGGCCAUCCGCCCGCUGAGCAGGUGUUGGCUGCCUGGGUGGCACUUCCUGUGCUGAGGCUCAGGGCUCUGAGCCCUCAUGGCACAUAAGGUCUUGAGGACAGUGACCACACAGCCCAAUCGGCCGGGCAGGUGGACUUAGGAGGGAGAGCCGGAGGCUGCAGAGUGUGCUCCGAGGUACCCUCCGCCUGGGACUGUAAGAACAAAGAAGGCUCUGGGGUAAGGUGACAGGGACAACUCCAGCAGAGAAGCGGAGGGAGGGGUGGAGACAGCACGAGAUGACCGGAGACCACAUGUUGGGUAGUGCCGGCGGGGGGAACUAUGGGAAAGGGAUUGGGCCUGGCAUGAAGACCCCCAGCCCAGCCCCGUGGGGGUCCUAGCAACCCCAGAAGUCCUGCUAAGACCCUGGCACAGACCCCACUUCCCUGAGACUCAGCUUCCCCAUCUUUAAAGUGAAGCCUGGCGCCUGCCUGUGAGUGCGCUGAAAAUCAGAUGAUGGCAGCCACAGAGGCGCUCAGCACAGCGCCCAGCGCAGGGCCGGGACCCAGAGUGGACUCUACCGUGGGGCUGCCUCAAAGAAAUCUCAGCAAACACAGGAAGCCAGCCCACCCGUGCAGCCAUGGGGCCAGGAAGCCCGCCCUUUACCAAGUCAUUUGGGCAUUUUUUCUCUGUGCUAACAGCCCAGAUGGAGCCAUAGCCUCAACCUCUGUGUUCUGAUAACACCAAGCUGGGACGCCGGAGCCAUGCAGGGGACAGUGCCCGGCCUGAGGCUGCAGCCUGGGUCUGGAUGCCUUUCUAAUUCAGGGCCUCCUCAUGGCCUGGUUCCAUAAAUGGUCAAAUGCAGCCUGACAGCGCAGCCUCCUAUCAGCGCUGGGCUCCGUACCGCCACACAGCCCACAUACCCCGUUCCCCAGGAGACGCCCGCAGGUGGGCAGCGUCACUCCCACCCGCCGAGCACACGCUGUCCCCGUCUCGUGUCCCGAGGAGCCGGAAGCAGCUGCUUCCUCCCAGCCUGAAAGCUGCACCUCGGGCUGCACUCGGCUCCCCGAACCCGCCCUCCGCUGCCCUGCAAUUCGCCAAGGGAGCUACCCUUCCCAUAUAAAAAUUUCACCUCCAUUUCCUUGUAGAGAAGAAACAUUUCUGACAGCAAGGAAGAUUCUAAUUUGAAAAGCAAGUGAUUCAUCUCCCGGUGCCAAACAGCAGACGCAGGCGUUACCAGUCUGGGUGGGGCGCCCGAGCUGGGGACCUGGGGUCCUCUGGGAGGGGCAAGAAGGCAGCGAUGCUGGCCCCCGCCUCCAUCUGCCCAUCCCAUCUGCUUCCACACACCGCCCUGCCGUAGCUGCUUGCAGCCCUUCUCUGUCAGUUUCUCCAUCUUUUGGUUUGGUGAUAAAUGAGAGUUCCCAUCGGGUGUGCCACCCUCUGUGUGACGGGGAGCAGAGAAGACCCUGCGUCCAAGUCCUCCUGGGGGAAGAGCGAAGAUGCUGGGACCAGCCCCAGCUGUCAGGGGGUCUCCAAUCCCAGCAGGGAGGCCCCACGCAUGGCUAGGAUGCCCCAGACCCCAGGAACUGAAGGAAGUGGAAAGGAGGGCCCGCAGUCCUAACUAAGGGUUCAGACACCCCCCCAGUGCACAUCCAGGCACGCCCCCACCCCCUAGGCCUGGUUCUAGGUCUGCUAGCUCCGAGAAGGCCCCUAACAAUGACGCAGUCAGAGGGGCUGCGCUGGGCUCACGCUCAGUCCCACUGCCCCAGGGGUAGAUCCGGCCCCUGGCCCACGCGCUGUGGAGCCUUGGAGUGUCUGUGCGCCCCUUCCUUGGAGGGCAGCCGCUGAGGGGCUGCUGCGGGACCGGGGAGCCUCCUGGCAGCAAGCACUCCCAAUGCGUUGCUGGGACGCUGUGAUGGAGACAAGAUCCUGGCUUUGAAGAAAGCCCUUUCCACCCUGUCCAUGUGGGGGUCUCCCGGUGCCCCUGAGCCAGCGGCCCCCUCCUGCAGGCUCCGGAGGACUCCCCUGCCUGCAUCUGGUCUCGCAUUUCCUCCGUGACCUCCAAGCUCCCACUGGGGGCACACGGCUGCCCCGCUGACCCCAACUCUGACCCUGUGCCGGUGGUGGGCAGCAUCUGGCAUGGGGGAGGUACCAUUUCUUCCACACUCGCGCGUCCUCAGCCCAGAUCAUCCGGUGAAGUUUCCCCAGCAAGUGGCUCCCCCUGCCCCCUCCACCCUGCCAAGUGUGGUCCCUGGGCCCCCGACUUCCCUUCUCAGCCUCUGCCCCUGGGUCUGGGGCAUGCAUCCAGCCAUCCACGCUCAGGGAGGCCACCUCCUCCCUCGCUCUCAACCACCACAAAGCUGCCCGGGACCUUGUUCUAUCCUUUCCAAAAGUCCUCAGGACCUGCCUAUCUACGGAGCUCCCAAAACGCCCUGUGAGCUCUCCUGGGCCCCUCCUCUCCUUGCUAAUAAUGUCCCACAUGGUGCUGCCUGCCUGGCCCCAAAAGAAAAGGACCCUGGAGUGAGUUCUGAACACAAACUCGAUGAAAGUGGCCCCCUGCUCCACCUGCCGAGUCAGCCCCUCCUCAGACUCUCCCCUUGGGCAGGGAAACCUGCCGAGGCCUGACUGUUUCUUCCUGAAACAGCCUCAGGCUGGAAGGAGAGGGAUCCACCCUUGGCCAUUGAAGCAUUCAGCAGGAAUCAGCCCUCAGGGACCGAGACCCUGCGACCAGCCCCGCCCCACAGGUGCCGGUCCUGGGCAGCCUCCCUUGCUUAGGCCACACUGCUCCCAAGAAGCCAGGAUGAGCAGCUCGCAAUAGGCCCCCAACACGCAGAGUGCCAUGCAGAGGACGGGGGCACCCCAGAAAACUGCAGACACUGCAUGUCCUCUGGGAGCCCCGGCCCUGGGAGACGAUGUGCAGUGGCUCCAGCUCUGACCUCAUGAGCCCAAGCUCCGCUACACACUGGGUCCUGACCUGACCUGGGUCCCGGCGGCUCUCCGGCCAGGCCUCUCCCGGUGCCUCCCGCCCCUGAGGCCGGCACCCAGCAUCCAGGCCCCUGUAUAGUCAUCCCCUCUUCAGGAAUCUGGGUCAUGGCUGCAGGAUAGGGGCUACCCAGAGCAGGAUGUGGAGGGAGGGGCCGCAAAAGCCGGAGAGAAUCCACAAGGCACUAUUUAGCCACCUGCCCUUGAUUCUAAUUCUCAGUGACGAGAUUCUUUGCUUGGCCAAACUCUAUCAGGCCCUUGAGCCUUCUAGGCCACCUGCACACUUCCUUGCAAAAUCCGGUUUUAGCAAGAACACUGCUAAGUGACUUCAGCCAGAACUGCCCCGCCCCGUAUCUGAUCAUCCUCGUCAGGGCAGCAUGCUCGUCCUCCGGCACCCAGGUGAUGACGGAUGACCCCGCCUCCCUUCAGCCAGAACCCUCCCACCCCUGCUGUUUGUUCUUAGUGAUGUUCCAUCCGAGGACCCCACUCUGCUCCUGGGCUAUCAAAUCCCACUCGCUGGAGCCAUAUUCAGAGUGGAGCCUAAAUCUCUCUCCACCACUGCAAAAUCCCACUGCCCUGGUCCCAGCACCCACCGCACUGGUCCUGAGUAGUCCCCUUCCGGUCUUUAGCAAAGAUCAUUGAAUAAAUUUCCUUUCAUGUCAGGCACACCCUUAAAUGCAGACGUGUGUCCUGGGAGGAUUACCAACACUCCCCCGGCCCUGCACAUCAGCUGUGGAAGGUGAGAUUGGGAAGUGCUGGCCUCCUUGCCAAGGCUUCAGCCUCCAUUUCUGCUUUUCAGGUCAUGUUCGAACACUGGGGGUCCCAGGAGACCCACCCAGACCAGGCCCCUCUCAGGGUGGGAAGAGCGUGGAGCAAGAGGAGGAGGCUCGGCCCAGGACGUUGGCCACAGGCUGACCCGUGCAGGGGGCAAGGGCUUAAGACGGCCCCAUCUUCCACUCCAAGUGUGGUCUCAAUCUUGUUGGCCAGUUUAUGAAAGUCAAGCCUACUGACUCAGUCAGGGUCUUGGCAGGAAGGAGGCCAGGGCGCAGACAGAGAUAGGGAUCGCUCCAGGGGUGUGUGGCCCUGGGCUGUGGGGCAGUCCUGGAGCACCUCCACCCCAGCCUGCAGAACACCCAGGCGGAGCAGGAGCAGAGCUGGGCUGUGUAGGGGUUAGGGGACACGGCCAGCCCGCAACCCCAGCUCCCCUCCAUCUGCCUCCAGUUUCCAGCCAGGGCCCCCUCUGCCAAACCUGGCCCGAGGCAGGGGCCAGGGCUCUGUCUACUGGGGCCACAGGGAGGGUGGGGAGGGGGCCGGAGCUCCCAGGGCAAGGGGAGGGGCCACCCCCACCCCGUCACGCGCAUGGAGGAGGAGGAGGAGCCCACACUGCCCCAGCGUCCACCCCACGCCUACACCAGCCCCACAUGAGCUCGGGGGUCUCUGGGGGUCAGUGUCUGCAGCUACAGAUGUGAGCACGCAUGCGGGUGUGCAGGACCUUUGACCGCAGCCUCCCAUGCACCCCUGGAAAGGUGCCUUGCCUCUCUCCCUCACUCGCCAUGUGCAGGGCAGUGGGCGAGUCCCAGCCAGCAUGGGCAUCCCGCAUUUCUCUGCUUCUGCAGCCCUGACUGACCAUGGCCCCCCAAGUGGGCUCCAGCCCUCCAGGCACCUCCCCGUGCCGUGGUGCCCACCACAGGGCCUGGUCUCAGGGCUCCUCCAGGACUGGCCAAGUCCCCAGGCUCCUCCCCCACCCAUGGGGGGAGAGGUGCACAGCACUGACGGGCCCCUGGGCCACUCAUCUGAACUCUUGAGUCCUCCUAGAGCGGUGAUCCCAGCCGGGCAGUUAGCUUGAGCGAGCCGAGUACUUACAGGAUGUCACCAAACACAAGGUCCCAGCCCACAUUCCAUGACCUCAGCACUGCUCACGACGUCCUCCUGAGUCCAUGAACUUCUUGACGGUUCUCAUGGCCUCCUCCUGUGGACAGGGCAGGGCCGGCAGGUGAGGCACCUGCACGCACACCUAGCUCGACUCCCCAGGCCCACCCUGCAGACCCUCGGCCCUCUCCCUUCUUCCCACCCACCACUCUGGAGACGGGGCCUCCGGUCCUGGCCGCCCCUGUGGAAGAAUGAGGGUGAGCGAGGGGCUGGGUCAGCAGCACGGCAGUGGGGGAGCCACCCAGCCUCCUGGAGGAAGCGGCCGGGCAGCGCUGGCACCGUUCCACAUCCCUGCUGGAGCAAUGGGGCCAGCGUGGCCGCCCCACCCAGUCAGUGGUCCCCACCUGGCUGAGAGUCCCCAGGAGGCAGCACCCUCUUCCUGGGAAGUCAGGCAGGGUUCUAUGCAGGAGCCGACACUCACAGGGCUACCACAGGCCUGUGCGGACCCCAAGAGCCAGGAAGCCGCCUGCCGAUGGUCCCUCUUAGGGACUGGAUCGCGGGCAGCUCAGACGGCACAGAGUGCUUCCGGGUCGCAGUGUCCUCAUGUUGCGGAGGCCUGAGCUCCCUGGAGGAAAAGCAACACCUUCCAAGCCAUGCGGCGGAACGCUGGUGAGGCUCAAAGCCCUGGAGGUGACAGCCCCCAGACAGAGGCGUGGACCGUGUUUCCCUGUCGGCCCCUCCUCCAACCCCUCCACCAACCGCUCCGCCAGUGGCAGGUUUCCCACCUGUCUCCCAGCCCCCUGGAACUCUCCCCGGGCCUGCCUCUGGCUGUUUGCUGGGCCCCCCGUGGGAGCAGCACAGCGGCUGAGUGCCUGGGCGUGGCCCUACUGCCUGUGGGUUUCCAACGGGAAUUUAGAGUCUGAAGGCUGAGGACCCUAGGGGACCACCCAUUAGGGCUGAGGGCUCUGGAAAGAAGUUCAGGACAAAGGAGUUUGGGGAGAGCGCUGGGCUCAUUUUCCUGGGGCAGACAGAACCAAGUGCCCAUCACGGUGCAGCUUGAACAGCAGGCGUUCGGCGCCUCUCAGUUCCGGAGGCCGGGGGUCCAAGGUCAUGGUGUGGGCAGUGUGAGCCACCACACCCAGCCCAAGUCCUUUAUACAUCUUCUCAGGGGGUCUGUGUCUUAAACAGGAAAUAUUCAAACGCCCUUUCUCUAACUGAAGUAGGUUUUCAGAUUACUUUUACGUUUAUAAGAUAUUGUGGCUACUGACGGUUUAUUUUUUGCAAUUAUAACCGGCCCACUUUCCCGGGGUCUCCCUACACGUGCGGGGCGGGGGAGAGACUCCAGAGGGGGCUGCGGGAAACACAGGGGAGGGAGGCCUGGGGCUGGAGACGGCGGCCGCUCCUCAUGCGUCAGGGGCCUCUUUCGGGCCGCCAUUGCCUUAGCAGCGCCAAGUUCUUUCUGGGGCAAUCGCCGCUGUUGGUUUCAUCUCCCAGCACUGCCCAUUGGCCGCAGCACCUCCUGCCCCCACGGUGCACUCCCUUCUGCGGUCAUUUCCUUCCCUGGGGUGGAAGCAAGUGUAGAGCCAGCUCUUAGAGAGAGGCAGGCCAGCCAUCUGCAGAGUGGGAACCCUCCUGGGCCCCCUUGCCCUCCCCACGUCCGAACCUGUCCCGUCCCCCAUGGGCCCGCGCCCCCGCCAGCAACGGCAUCCCACACUGUGCGCCUGGCCGUCUCACACACCCCACACUCUGGGCUGACCUUCAAAGGGAAGCUGCUGUUUAAAUAUUUAAUCGUCCUUGGAGUGCCUGGACUUAAUCAUUAAGACCCUGAAUCAAAAGAGGAAAAAAAGCAUUUUAAAGAUGACUGAAGGCCGGGUGCAGUGGCUCACGCCUGUAAUCCCAGAACUUUGGGAGGUCAAGGUGGGCAGAUCACAAGGUCAGGAGUUCGAGACCAGCCUGGCCAACAUGGUGAAACCCCGUCUCUACUAAAAAUAUUAAAAUUAGCCUGGCAUGGUUGUGGAUGCCUGUAAUCCCAGCUACUUGGGAGGGUGAGGCAGGAGAAUCACUUGAACCCCGGAGGCAGAGGUUACAGUGAGCCGAGAUCACACCACUGAACUCCAGCCCGGCCAACAGAGCAAGACUCUGUCUCAAAAAAAAAAAAAGCAAAAAAAACAAAAACUAAAAAACUAAAAAAAAAAGAUGGCUGAAGCCUGUGAAAACACUGGGUUAGUGAUGCUUGUAUUCUCAGCCCUGCAGGGCUGCGGCACCUCCACCUCCGGCUUGGCCUCACACUGCUCCCGGGGUGUUCCCUUUGCUCUGGAGGCAGGGCUGUGCACCAGCCAGGCCUGAGACCCUGUCUGCCCUCCAGGACCUGCUGACCCUGCUAGAUCUUCGGUCCUGCCUUGCCCAGCGGCCGACUGAACAGAGCCCCUGUGGGCCCUGCAUGGCCACCAGGGGGCUACUCCACGGUGGGGUCAGGGGGCGAGCGUCCCCCUCCCCGUCUCGGGGAGGGACGCAGCUCCUGGCCUGCAUGCGCCCACCAUGGACGGGGAAGGAAGGGGCGCCCCCUUCAGUGUGUGAACCCCCAGCAAUCCCCUCUGCGGGGACCGCAUGUUUUCUAUACAGAAAGAACUUAGCUCACCAGGGACAUUUUGCUGAAACAGCUUGUAAAGGAUGGCGCCUGGCUGGUGCCUCUGCCUGCUAUGGGGUGCGGGAGGCAAUGUGGGAAGCUCCGUACUCUCUGAUCGAUGUAUCGGUAAAAUGAAAACUGCUCUAAAAAGUAGUCUUUUAACUUAAAAGAAAAAAGGAGAAUAAUUAGGCCAAGGGCUUGGCCAUUUUCUGAACAAGUCUAGUUUUGUGGGUUUCCAGCUGCCUCUCUGAGUCUCCUUCUGGGCCCCUGCAGACACAGCCCCCUCCUGGGGUAGGGGCGACCUGCCCUGAGCAGUCUGUGCCCCGGGCUCCCAGAGCUGCCAGUGUGUCCAGGCUCUCCCCAGCUAUCCGACUCCUGGGGAGCCUGCCAGGCCGGCAGUGGGUGGGUAUUUGCUUGCAUUUGCUUUGACAAAUCGCCACUCUGUGUGGAGGUGCCAGGAGCGUGAUUUACUGGGUGUGUGAUGACUACGGCUCCCGUAGCCAGGCCUGCCCAUCAAGCAGUGCUUUUGGCUUUCAGUGAGGGGUGGACUUUGCCGCGGGGGAUUGCCGGCUAGCUGAUCAGGACCCCAAGUCCUAAGAGGCACCGUGUCCACUCCACCUGCCCACGGGAGCUCCGUGCCCAGCGGUGGGCCCAGAGGGACGACGACCUCCUGUAGAGGGGGCCCCCACCAGUCCUAGCAGCCAAAGGUGCUCGAAGAGUGAAAGGACAUGCCACACUGUCCUCCUAACAGCAGUGACCAGGGCAGGAGAGCUGCUAUUUCUGGCCUACGGCCCAUUUUUCAGAGUCAAUUCAUUUUCUAGGCAGACACACACAUUCCUACAACUCUUUUCUCCAGAUCAUUCCUUCAGCCAGCUGGUUCUCCACCGGGAUUCCAGGAAAGAAUGAGGCCUUGCAAAAUGCUCUGAAUGGCUGUUCCCACCAAAGGUGGUGGGAGCCAAGCCCUUUCCAGGUACAGAGGGAAAGAAGGUGGUUUCGUGGGGUCUUGGCGUCAGCUCCACUCCCUCCCAGAUCACUAGUGCGAAGGGACAUGCCAGGCCUCUCCUCUAGGACAAAAACUAGUGUUUCUCUUGGAUUCACUGAAACAAGCUGGGCUGCCCCUUCUUACAGAUGGGGCUUGGGGCCCGUGGAGGGGAAGGGCCUGCGAGGUCCUGUUGGUGAUAACCAGGCCAGCCGAGAGCCCGGGAAAGGGCCUGUCCUCAGUCUGUGCCUUGGUGUCCUCCCACCCAGCCACAAAGGGACUCACUCAAGGUCACAGGGCUGCAGCGGGCUGCGUUCAACCCAGUGGCCCCCACACACUCCUUCAAGGACCAGCAUCCCAUGCCCAGCUUCUGCCACUUCCUCUCUGGGCCUGUGCCCAGCAGCAGGACAACCCUUGCCACAGGCAGAGCAGCCCCGCACUCUAGUCCAUUGAAAAGCCUGGUGAGAUGCCAGGCCAGGCCAUGAGCGCGGAGCCUGGUGGCGCGUGUCAGGAGGCGGCGGUGGCAACCUUGACGGUGGUGGUCCUGACUCAGGAGUCUGACUCACAAGGACUCCAGAGGAAGCAACUGACAAAACGUGUCUCCCGACGGGAGGGUGGCCCAGCUGUGAGGGCGUCUCCACCACCUCACCAUCAUCGUCAGAGCCACAGGAUUUGGGGGACAGAGGAACAUGGUAGACGACACUACAGAGACAGCCAGCAGAACCCAGAGUGUCGGAAAUUCUACAGGACAAACAAAGGACCAGGUUUCUUCAACAGAUAAACGAUGAGUGAUGUGUGUGUGUUGGGGGGGGGUGGGGGGGACGGAAGCUCUGGGCAUUCCGGAGGGACUUCAGAGUCACAGAGAGCCUUGGACUUCGUACUCAAACAAACCAACUCUGAAAAGACAGGAGACAACCAGGGAAAUUUCAACACUGCUAGCAGAUUAUCACAAAGAAUUCAAGGGUCGUGUUUUAGGUGUGAUAACGGUAGCACAGUUAUUUUUUUUGGAAGAGUCCCUAUUCUGUACAGCCACGCACUGAGGUAUUUCUCUGAUGAAAUAAGGUCAGGGAUUGCUUUAAAAGACUCCAGGGAGAGGAGGGGUAAGGGGCAGUGGAUCGGGGGAGGGAAGAAGGCUUAUAGGUCAGAUGGGGCUGCCAUGAUACUGCUCCCUCUCAAGUUCUUGAUGUUUAGAAAAAAUGUAUGAUAAAAAGUUAAAGGUAUAUGGCCAAAAAUUAACAAUAAUCACAAAAACAAGCCUGUCCUUACAGUGAGGCCAAACUCUUUCCUGUCUUCUAACUCUAGCCCAGGGGUCAAAAACAAAGGGAGGACCACAGGCCCCAGGGAGGCGCAGGAGGAAAAUAUUAAUACUGUCCUUUCAAAAUCUCAUCUUUUAAAAGUAUUUAAAAUGCCCAUAUUCUAUAAUCUAUGUAAUAUUUUACUAUUAGCUAGUCCAUUCUCCAGCCUGCGUGACAGAGUGAGACUCCGCCUCAAAAAAAAAAAAAAAAAAAAUCAAUGUGUGUACAUGUAUCGGGAGUGUGCACUCAAACUUUUGAUUGUUAAAGGAGGGUUUUCACAAAAGCUGGGAGACCACCCUUCUAGAACCCUGCCCUUGUAGGUCCAAGGCUACGCGCCCUGGCAGACUUCCAUGAGCUGCGACUACCAGCCACCAAGACGGUGUGCCCAGCCAACCCUGGUCCCCAGCUAGCUCUGACCCCUGCCCUGCCAGCAUCACCCUGAGAUUCUUCUGCAAAUUACAGUCUUCUCAGACUGUCUGUCGACCCUGGGGUCUCAAUGCUGGGUUCUCAACAGGCAGAACCACAGGGCUGCAUUGCGGGUUGUCUUUGAAAAAUGACCUGCCAAUAGAAAGUUGGGGACGAAAGCCCUCCAACAGUCUGUCCAAGCGACCCCCAAGAGAAACCACAGUGGGGUGCUGGAGGGUCCCCAACGAGGCACCCCCCCCCCUCCGACCACCCUGCUGUUACUUCCACCCACAUCGAAGUCCUAGGGUCUCUUCUAAUUUCCUACUUGGCCGUGCCUGAAAUGCCACUUCCAAAACCCGCAUUCCUAUGGUUGCAGAGGCCACAAGGGAGGGCCCUCGUGGUAUUUUUUCAGGACCCAAAACCACGAAGAUGCCAAGAAUCACAACUUUCACACAAAGGACACACUUUCUUUGAUGGAAUCUUCAGAUCACACAUCACAAAGGCAGCACGCCAUCAGUCUUUGAAAUGUCCCAAAACACGUAAAGAAUGUUCCGCUGCAGAUCCGGCUUGUUUCACGGGUGUGUGGCCUCCUCUUCCGAAGUCAUUUCAUUCUUCGGGGUCUUUGACACGCUCUGGCAACAAGCGCGGAGAGGUGAACGGGGCAGCGUUUGUGCUGAGAGUGGGCUGAGAGCGCCGCCCUGCCCACUCCGGCCUGGGGCAUCCCAUCUCUGCCAGGUUCUGGGCUUUGCAUUUUCUUUUCAUUUCAUUCUUCCCAGGCAAGAGCACAAGGAAACAAGCAGAAGGAAUUCAGAGAAACAGCUCCAGGCUCCAGCUCAAAGGCCGACACCAAAAGCGAACACCUCUGGGCGCUCUUGCCUUCAAGAAGGUGGGGAGGCUCACAGACGCAGCAUCCACCCCUCGCAGGGAACCUCAGUUCCUGGCCUGUGGUCCCAUGAAGGACAUCAGGCUGGCAGAUUGGAGCACACCCCUUCUUUCUAACCCCUCUUGAAAGCUUCCUUGAAUCUGCCAGUCCUGCCCCCUGGAGCAGGAAGGAAAACAGAAGGCCUAGGACGCUAGAGGGGUCCCGAGCUUUCCGGAGCUCCAGCCACCAUCAGGUCUGACUGCUCAGGGACAGACACACCGACCACAUCCUGACCUCAGGAUGACCUGCGGAAGUACUUGGCAUUUCUUCUUAGCCAAAUCCCUUCAUUAAAAGACGGGUGAGGGUUCCAGCGCUGCCCUCUUCCUUCUCAAAACUCUUAUUUCAGGGCUGAAGCCCAGACGUCCAGCCCGUCAGAAAUCCCCUUAGCCUGAGCUUGGCACCCAGAAGCUAGAGAGUAAAUGCACAGGGGCCGGGGUCUGAGCCCUUCCGCAAGGAUGGGGAUGGGGGCCACAAUCCACACACACCACACCACAAACCACACACCACACACCCACACACCACACACACCACACCACAAACCACACACCACACACCCACACACCACACACACCACACCACAAACCACACACCACACAUUACACAGCACACCACACACACACACCACACACACCACACACCACAUACACACCACACACCACACACACACCAAACACACCACACACACCACACACCACACACACGCACCACACACCACACACACCACACACCACACACACACACCACACACACCACACUUACACCACACACACACCACACACACCACACCCACACACACCACACACACCACACCACACACAACCAUACCACACACACCAUACCACAAACCACACACAACACACCACAUACCACACACCACAAACCACACACACCACAAACCACACACACCACACACACCACCCACACCACACACCNNNNNNNNNNCUACACAUCACACACCUCACACUACAUACCUCAUACACACCACACACCACACACCCCACAUACCUCCCACACACACCAUACACACACACUAGAUCUCAAACAUAACAUACACCACAUACCUCACACCCCCCCGACACUAUACAGCUCACAUAUACACAACACACACCUACCUUACACACAUGCCACACACUCCACAUCCCUUACACACAAUCAGUAUAUAUCACACAUACACAAUACAUUCCUCACACCCCACAUACCUCACACAACCACAUACACUACACACACAUCGCACACUACCUCACACACAUACUGUAUACCUCACACAUACAUUUCACACACACCACACACCUCACACACAGUGCACACACACCACACCCCUCACACGUUUCCUUGCAGAGCCGUAUUGUGUGUGUGUGUGGUGUGUUCAUGUGUGUACUUGUGUGUAUAUGGGGUGUGUGGUAUGUUCGUGUGUGUACUUGUGUGUAUAUGGGGUGUGUGGUGUGUAUAUGUGUGUGGGGUAUGUGUGUGUGUGGUGUGUGCGUGUCCUGCUCAUGCAGAGUGUCCGCAACCACUUCUCGCCUCCUCUGUCCCACCCGCCCAACCCCCUGGCACUCCUGUGGACUAUGACCCCCUGAAGCCACAAACCCCGAGCUGAGCUAAACCACUGCUCGAGGUGCGGGGUGCGCAGCACUCCACAGCCCGUUGCAUUUCCACGUCGCAAAUCCUCAGGGAGCAUUUCCUUGGAGAUACAAGAAGUGCAUCCACGUGUUCCCAAGUCCUUUCGCUCAGGGAGUGCCGACUGGUGUCGGCCUUCCAGAAAUGACUUUCUAAGCACUUCCAUCCCACGCAGACCUGCUUCCUGAAGCCCAGCCUGGUCUCUCUGUGCCCGUGUGUCAUCCUUGCCCACUCUUACAUGCUGCGAGGCUGGCUGUGUCUGCAGCCGCAGCCAUCAGAGGCCUGGAGGUAGCAGAAGCAGCUCUGGUGUGCGCUCAAAAGCUCCUUGCGGCUUGCUCCAGCCACUCACUUAUCACCGUGUGGAGUAGAGGGUGUGUGUGUGAGUGCGGUGUGUGUGAAGCCACACCAAACUCAUUCCCAGCCUAGGGAGUGAGCCUCCUCUGGCCCGGGCUUAACAAACUCUGGUCAAUGUGACCCACGCAGACAGCAAGAGGAGGGACGUCCACUCGCACAGACCCACUUGACCUGGGUGCAGCUGACUUCCUAGUCUUCCCUUCUAUGAAACGGUGACUUCUGUGGCAUGCAGCCCUGCCCUGGCCCGCGGGGACACGCAAGCUUGGGACCCAGGAGAGCAAUGACACCGGAAGGGCCAGGCCCUUUGCUGUCUUGGGGGUGCCAGGCCAGAACUCCAAGUCACCAAGCAAAGAGGGCCCCAGAGUCCCCUGUGGUCCCCAAACCUGGCCAAGGUUAGAGUCACCGAGGGGCCUGGACAGAUGCCAGGGCCAGCCCAGGCCUGCCACGGCGGGGGAGACUGCCGGGAGGCGAGGCUGGGAGUCUCAUCAUCAAGCUUCCCGGGGCUCUUGCUGGCAUCCCACCCAGGGUUUUAAGGGACAUUUGGCAGCAGCUGGACUCCGAGGGAGGGGGUUGGGGGACGACCAUGCAUUUGUUCUGGGAAUGCUCUUGCAUGUGCCCGCAUUGCCCCUCAUGUCCCCAUGUCCAUGCCAGGUGGACAGCGUGUCCACCAAGGCCCUGACUGCACAGCCAGCUGUGCUCUCGGGAGCAUGCCACUCGGCCGGCUCUCCGGCCCUGACUCAGCUCAGGCAGGGGCUCAGCGCCCAGUCUGUGCUUGCAGGUCGUCGCUCAGGCCGGAGCCGAGGAGCUUCGCCAGGCCUGAGAUACCUAGACAAGAAGUGCCAGCUCCAGUGCCUGGGGAGGCCAGGCAGGGACGUACGCCACGAGGGAUGACGCGGGGUGGAGAUGGUGGUGAACGCACAGAGUCAUAACGCAGUGGCUUCCCACCUUCGCCAUGUGGGAAUGUGGCUCCAGGGAACUAGACUGGUCUGUGGCACUUCCUCUUUGAAAGGUAGGCCAUUCCUCUAAAAGAGCUGGAGGCGUGGCAGGCCGGCAGCACAGGCACUAACAAGGCAACCAGCCACUGUCAGAGCACACCACACCUCUGUUCUCACCAACCUUUCAACUUACAGAAGAGGAGACGGCCUCGAGACCCAGUGUGCGUGACCAGUUCCACGUGCCACUAGCGCCAGCCGCCUAGAACUCCAAGAGAGGAAAGCAAGAGCUCCCUUGCCAUGCGUUUGCUCAGAACUUUAAUUUUUUCUCCUCAAGGAAAGUAAAAGAAACAGGUCUUCCUUCCACUGUGCAGGCAGUCAGCG